Molecule: ribosomal RNA, 253 nt
Filed under: uncultured prokaryote
Description: partial 16S ribosomal RNA
Rfam family: Bacterial small subunit ribosomal RNA
Source: RNAcentral
ACGUAGGGUGCGAGCGUUAAUCGGAAUUACUGGGCGUAAAGCGCGCGCAGGCGGUUCUUCAAGUCAGAGGUGAAAGCCCAGAGCUCAACUCUGGAAUGGCCUUUGAGACUAGAGAACUAGGGUACGGGAGAGGUGAGUGGAAUUCCGAGUGUAGAGGUGAAAUUCGUAGAUAUUCGGAAGAACACCAGUGGCGAAGGCGGCUCACUGGCCCGUUACCGACGCUCAGGCGCGACAGCGUGGGGAGCAAACAGGA